RNAcentral lists this small RNA (32 nucleotides) under Arabidopsis thaliana (thale cress). RNAcentral describes it as "ATSL180380". The record is from RNAcentral. Lineage: Eukaryota; Viridiplantae; Streptophyta; Magnoliopsida; Brassicales; Brassicaceae.
AGAGAGUCCCUUUGAUAUUGGCCUGGUUCACU